RNAcentral lists this ribosomal RNA (253 nucleotides) under uncultured bacterium. Its description in RNAcentral is "partial 16S ribosomal RNA". It matches the Rfam family "Bacterial small subunit ribosomal RNA", at positions 524 to 776 of the family's 1533-position model. The record is from RNAcentral.
UACGUAGGGUGCAAGCGUUGCCCGGAUUUAUUGGGCGUAAAGGGCGCGUAGGCGGCUCGGCACGUCCGUUGUGAAAACCCGGGGCUCAACCCCGGGCCUGCAGUCGAUACGGGCGAGCUAGAGUUCGGCAGGGGAGACUGGAAUUCCUGGUGUAGCGGUGAAAUGCGCAGAUAUCAGGAGGAACACCGGUGGCGAAGGCGGGUCUCUGGGCCGAUACUGACGCUGAGGAGCGAAAGCGUGGGGAGCGAACAGG